Long non-coding RNA from Phyllostomus hastatus (greater spear-nosed bat), 344 nucleotides. RefSeq lists it as uncharacterized. The record is from RefSeq and is a predicted model, not a curated record. The transcript is spliced from 3 exons. NCBI's taxonomy places the organism in Eukaryota, Metazoa, Chordata, Mammalia, Chiroptera, Phyllostomidae.
AGGAAUGGGGAGAUGAGGGCAAUAGGGUAAAGGUGUGUCUUCUGUCCGAGCACUGGAUUUUGAGACUUGAUGGAGAAAAGGGUGGAGUAAGAAGCUGUCCGAGCCAUUGUCAUGGAGACCAUGGACCCCCAGGAACCUAGGUGCCUGCAGGCCAUUGAGGCCUGGGGACAGUUGGGUUCCAGUGAGUGAUCACCACACGUCGCUCUACAGCAGGCCCAGGCCCAAACCAACGUCCUUUCUCUUGGAACCCAGCCUCCAUGGUUUGAGGAAACCCAAGCUGCCCACUGCAGAGGUCCACAUGGGGAGAAACUGACCACCAGUCACGUGAGUGCUUCAUCCUGGAA